This 433-nucleotide ribosomal RNA is filed under the name uncultured bacterium. Its description in RNAcentral is "partial 16S ribosomal RNA". It matches the Rfam family "Bacterial small subunit ribosomal RNA", at positions 29 to 507 of the family's 1533-position model. The record is from RNAcentral.
AACGAACGCUGGCGGCAUGCCUAACACAUGCAAGUCGAACGAGACCUUCUGUGCUGUUAGCGCACGAGUGCGUAACGCGUGGGAACCUGCCCUUCGGUUGGGAAUAACUCCCCAAAAGAACUUCUGAUACCGUAUAAUAUCUGCGGACCAAGGAUUGAUAGCCUUUGGAUGGGCCCGCGUUCGAUUAGCUAGUUGGUUGGGUAAAUGCCUACCAAGGCGACGAUCCAUAGCUGGUCUGAGAGGAGGAUCAGCCACACUGGGACUGAGACACGGCCCAGACUCCUACGGGAGGCAGCAGUGGGGAAUAUUGGACAAUGGGCGCAAGCCUGAUCCAGCAAUGCCGCGUGAGUGAUGAAGGCCUUAGGGUUGUAAAGCUCUUUUCUCCGGGAGGAUAAUGACGGUACCGGGAGAAUAAGCCCCGGCUAACUCCGUG